Molecule: long non-coding RNA, 2295 nt
Organism: Strigops habroptila (Kakapo)
Lineage: Eukaryota; Metazoa; Chordata; Aves; Psittaciformes; Psittacidae
Source: Ensembl
AGACAUUAGGCACAACUCUGAUAGUGCAAGACCCUGCAUACAGACUGCUCUUUUUAUUAAUAAAUACCAACAAGAUGAUGUAUGACAGGUUUGUAAUGAUUCUCUUUUUAUAAGAUUUACAGUUUUUUGAAAUGAGAUUUACUGCUGGCCAGCAGGGUCAGGAGCUGAAUUACAUGGGGGUCAUGGUAACAUAAAUGGCAGUUUAAGCAAGACAUGUCAGCAAAAUGAUAAAAAACCCUAACAAACCCAGUUGUGAAUUCUACACAGCACUAAGAAGAAAACUGGAACCUGUUUGAAAAUCUUUCUACACCUUACCACAAUCAUUCCACUGAAGAGAAUCUCUUACAUGCACCCUCCCUGAUCAUAUCAAGAUUAUUCUUUCAACAUAACUCCUGCUAACGAAUAGAAAGUAAGUAAAUCUACCAUUUAGCCUCUAUUCAAGUAAACACGGUUGUAUAGUCAGCAUUUCCCCCCCCCCCCUCCCGCCCGCAACGCUACUUUCUCAAGCAGGGUGACUGUCCCCUGCUCCUCCAUGAAGCAAGCUCAGCCCCGGCAGCCAUGUCCUUAUUCUCCUACAAACAAUGUUUCUGAAGGAGAACAACCCCCGCUCAGCGAACUUAAAGAGUUUCCCCCGGCAUAACGCGGCGAAGCAAAGCCUGCCCCACCGGCAGCAAACGAGCUAAGGCACCAACCGCAGCAGUGGGGGCGAAGCAGCCCGCAGUCUGGAUCUGCACCAGCGCCGAGCCUCGCACCGGGGUCGGGACAGAUGGACUGACAGAUAGGACAGCAUUUGCCCGUGCAACCCUCUCUUCUUUCCCCUCCCAGCCACACAAGCGAGUGUUUUACCUUCAUGAUGAGCUCAAGCUGCGGUAAAAGCCUCGACAGGGGCUGAGCGGCCGAGGCUGGACCUGGAAUUUAAAACAAAGCGCUAAGGCACCGCACCAGCCGCUCGCACCGGGCGGGGGGAGGGGAGGCAGGGACCGGGGUGGGGGCGCUGGGCUCCUCCCGAAACUCCCCUUUUCCUUCCCCGGAUCCCCCCUUUCUCUCCGGUUAACCCCCUCCCCUCGUUCCUCGGCCGCUGCUUCCCCUCCAGCUCCCACACACCGCGGCUUCCCCUACACUCGCUGCCAUUGACGCCAUUUCUGUCAGAGGAGGAGAAACUUGCCACAACAACAACCCACCCCCAGCCGCCCCGGCUGCCGCGGGGGGAGGGCGCGGUGGCAAGAGGCGUCCCCGGCUGUCUCCCCGGGGCGCUGCGGCCCCUCCCCAGGCACCCAGCGGCAGGAGGGGACCCGCGGGGGUCCGAACCCUGGGGACCCCCCCUCCCCACUUUACCGCGGGAGCCGGAGAAAGGAAGGGAGGCUCUUCCUCCAUUGUACGAGGAAGAGUGCCUGUGUGGUGCGCGGCGGGGGAGCGGGGUGUCGGUAACACCCCCCUCUCCUCCCCCCCCGACACACACACACGCUUUUGUAGGGGCUGCGGCUCCGGAUCGCGACGGCUCCUCCUCCCCCCCCCCCCCAAAUAAAGGAAAGCGCUGACUCCGCGGCAGGAGUUUCAGCAGCAACAGCCGCAACUCCCCGGCUCGGCGCAGCGGGUCCGGGCGGGGGGAGGGCGUGCGAGAGGCGGCGGAGGGGAAGAAAAGGAAGAAAAGAAGCAAGCGGGGACGGGGAAGGAGAGGGGCGGGGAGAAAGGGGCCCGACCUGCUCGGCGGGGACACGGAGCGUGUGUGUCUGCGUGUGUGUGUGGAGGAGGGGGCUCCGUCCUCUCCCGGCGGAGAGGACGGGAGAAGCCGCCGGCCCCUCCCGCACGCAGGCGGCAGCCGAUCCCCCUCCCCCCCGCCCCGCCGCUGGGUGUUUGCGGGGGGAGAAGGAGGAUCGGCGAGUCCCGCCGCAGUCUCGCUACGAGGAGAAAAACAACCGUCCCCCUCCCCCCCGCGCGCACGCCCCGCCGCCGCCGCCUGGCCCCGCGUCCCCCCGCCCCGGAGCCCCGCGCUGCCUCCCCGCCCGCCGCCGGUGGGGCCGGGGGAGCUCCUUCUCCGGCUCCGCGCCGUUACCUUUGUUCCGCGGCGCCCGCCCGCCCGCUACUCCCCCGACCCGGGGCGGGGGGGGGAGAGAAGGGGACGGGGCGAAGCCUCCUCUCAGCUCCGGGCCCCCUCGGCCCCUGCUCAGCGCUCCGGCAACGGCUCUGCUCGCGGCGGCUCCGCGCGGCGGGGCCGAUCCGUCCUGCGCGGACCCGGCGGUGGCGGCGGUGACUGCUCGGCUCGGAGCCUCUCGGUCCCCCUCCCCCUCCCACACC